Long non-coding RNA from Penaeus monodon (black tiger shrimp), 1028 nucleotides. RefSeq lists it as uncharacterized. The transcript has 3 exons. The record is from RefSeq and is a predicted model, not a curated record. Lineage: Eukaryota; Metazoa; Arthropoda; Malacostraca; Decapoda; Penaeidae.
UGCACGGGUUAUGUGGACGCCGCCAUUGUCUCGACUUCCCUCCCGUGCAGAGGCUGGCUGGCCUGGUCUCUGCCCUAAGCCGGCCUCUCGCUGGGUGGCUGGCAUCGGGGAAGAGGGGAGUCUUUGUUAUGUCUUGGUGUGCGGAAAGGAGAGACAGAGAGGGAGGGAGGAAGAGGAAAAGGUGGAAGAGAUGAAUAUGGCACAAGAAGAGAGGAAAAGGAGAUCGGAAACUUCAAGAAGGCAAAAGCAUCAUUUUUCUAAAGAACUCAACCAAGACGAAGCCGAUGAAUUCUGUCAUUGUAGAGAAAUCGCGAAAAGAGUAACGUAAGGGAAGGGACAUUUUACAUACAAACCGCAAAUCACUAAUACAAGGAACUGUAAAGAUAUAUCGAAAUAUCAAGCAUGGCUAUUGAAUCGGGUAACAUUCUAACUUCUAAAGAAUCUAUUUUUUUCUGAAGAUAACGAAAAAGAGGGGUAAGAAGAUGAAAAAAAAACUCCGUAUGAACCUAUUGUGAAAGGGGCUUUUAUUACACUGAGAACCGUUCGUGAAUAAUAGAGAAUAAAUAAUUAUCAAGUCCAGUAGACUUGAUAAUAAUUUUUACAUUUCUAGUAUUGGAUUUUCUUAUCAUUUCACCAUUCAGAAGAUAAGUUAUGGUUGCUGGUGAUGAAGAUAACGGAGGUUUUGAGAACAUCGUUUAUGACGCUGGCACCUUCACUGAAAUUAUCGAAAUGUUUAUUAUACGUAACGUUAAUGUUGUACAUAAAAUCUAAAGCAUUUAGAUAAUGAUACUAUCUGUUGAUAUUUGAGCUUAAACUAACCGAUUAUGAUGUAUGAUGACAAUAUCAAAAUGACUGCAAAGAUGAAUAGCUUUAGUUAACGAGACUGGAAUUAUUUAACUCAUUAUGUAACUAUUAAUUCGAUUUCUUGAUCUCUUUCUCUGUCUUUCUAUAUAGACAUACAAACACACACACGCGCGCGCACAUAAACACACACACAUGCGCACAUAAAGACAGACACACAUAGACAC